Molecule: ribosomal RNA, 1509 nt
Filed under: Helicobacter pylori
Lineage: Bacteria; Pseudomonadati; Campylobacterota; Epsilonproteobacteria; Campylobacterales; Helicobacteraceae
Description: bacterial SSU rRNA
Rfam family: Bacterial small subunit ribosomal RNA
Source: RNAcentral
UUUAUGGAGAGUUUGAUCCUGGCUCAGAGUGAACGCUGGCGGCGUGCCUAAUACAUGCAAGUCGAACGAUGAAGCUUCUAGCUUGCUAGAAUGCUGAUUAGUGGCGCACGGGUGAGUAACGCAUAGGUCAUGUGCCUCUUAGUUUGGGAUAGCCAUUGGAAACGAUGAUUAAUACCAGAUACUCCCUACGGGGGAAAGAUUUAUCGCUAAGAGAUCAGCCUAUGUCCUAUCAGCUUGUUGGUAAGGUAAUGGCUUACCAAGGCUAUGACGGGUAUCCGGCCUGAGAGGGUGAACGGACACACUGGAACUGAGACACGGUCCAGACUCCUACGGGAGGCAGCAGUAGGGAAUAUUGCUCAAUGGGGGAAACCCUGAAGCAGCAACGCCGCGUGGAGGAUGAAGGUUUUAGGAUUGUAAACUCCUUUUGUUAGAGAAGAUAAUGACGGUAUCUAACGAAUAAGCACCGGCUAACUCCGUGCCAGCAGCCGCGGUAAUACGGAGGGUGCAAGCGUUACUCGGAAUCACUGGGCGUAAAGAGCGCGUAGGCGGGAUAGUCAGUCAGGUGUGAAAUCCUAUGGCUUAACCAUAGAACUGCAUUUGAAACUACUAUUCUAGAGUGUGGGAGAGGUAGGUGGAAUUCUUGGUGUAGGGGUAAAAUCCGUAGAGAUCAAGAGGAAUACUCAUUGCGAAGGCGACCUGCUGGAACAUUACUGACGCUGAUUGCACGAAAGCGUGGGGAGCAAACAGGAUUAGAUACCCUGGUAGUCCACGCCCUAAACGAUGGAUGCUAGUUGUUGGAGGGCUUAGUCUCUCCAGUAAUGCAGCUAACGCAUUAAGCAUCCCGCCUGGGGAGUACGGUCGCAAGAUUAAAACUCAAAGGAAUAGACGGGGACCCGCACAAGCGGUGGAGCAUGUGGUUUAAUUCGAAGAUACACGAAGAACCUUACCUAGGCUUGACAUUGAGAGAAUCCGCUAGAAAUAGUGGAGUGUCUAGCUUGCUAGACCUUGAAAACAGGUGCUGCACGGCUGUCGUCAGCUCGUGUCGUGAGAUGUUGGGUUAAGUCCCGCAACGAGCGCAACCCCCUUUCUUAGUUGCUAACAGGUUAUGCUGAGAACUCUAAGGAUACUGCCUCCGUAAGGAGGAGGAAGGUGGGGACGACGUCAAGUCAUCAUGGCCCUUACGCCUAGGGCUACACACGUGCUACAAUGGGGUGCACAAAGAGAAGCAAUACUGCGAAGUGGAGCCAAUCUUCAAAACACCUCUCAGUUCGGAUUGUAGGCUGCAACUCGCCUGCAUGAAGCUGGAAUCGCUAGUAAUCGCAAAUCAGCCAUGUUGCGGUGAAUACGUUCCCGGGUCUUGUACUCACCGCCCGUCACACCAUGGGAGUUGUGUUUGCCUUAAGUCAGGAUGCUAAAUUAGCUACUGCCCACGGCACACACAGCGACUGGGGUGAAGUCGUAACAAGGUAACCGUAGGUGAACCUGCGGUUGGAUCACCUCCUUUCUAGA